AUCAUUUCAACUUCAACCUACAAACAUACUAAAAUUCAAUGUGCCAUUAUCUAAUAAUCUAACAGCACUAAUGCAAUCACUACUCUCAAUUCAUGCAAUCAAUUCAACUAGGCAUAAACAAACAGAAAGUCGCACAAGUGAACUAAACACAAAAUAGAUAACGAGAAAAAUCAGAAGGCAAAUAAUGUGCUAGAUAUAAGAUAACAAUCAAAACAUACUUCAGGGGUUACUAAUAGGCGACCAUAUCAUAAUUACUCGACAGAGAUAAUGACAAGAAAAACAUACUUCAGAGACUAAUUAAUAGUCUUCAAAAUCUCCUCACAUUUAAUACCACAAUGCCAGUCUAAAACAUUAAGGUAGGUAAAGCAGAAGCUAGAUAUAGAUAAGCAGCUCCAUGGACAGGAAAUGAAGCCACGAACAACCAGAGCGAUCUUGCAAAUUUGCGACCCAGCAAAGCAAUCGCUCAACGGUAAGACUUUUGGAACCUGGCGCGGGCUCCACGACCACCGAACUUCUUGGGCUCGCAGCGCCUGGGGUCGGCGACGAGGAGUGUGCGGUCGUAGCGAGAGAAGAUGUCCUUGACCUCCUUCUUGGCGGCCUCGUCGACGUACUUCUGGUAGUAGGCGACGAGCCCCUUGGCGACGGCCUGGCGGAUGGCGUAGAUCUGCGACGUCUUCCCGCCGCCGCGGACGCGGAUCCGCAUGUCGAUGUCCUUGAACCUCGACCGGCCGGCCAGCAGGAUGGGCUCGAAGGCCUUGAGGCGGAGCAUCUCCGGGCGGAUCAGCUCGAUCGGGACGCCGUUCACCUUGAUCAGCCCGCGCCCCGGCUUCGUGUACGCCACGGCCACGGCGGUCUUCUUCCGCCCGAAGCACUGGACCGUGCCCGGGGUAGGGCGGCUCAGCACGGACAUGGUUG
RNAcentral lists this long non-coding RNA (915 nucleotides) under Sorghum bicolor (sorghum). Its description in RNAcentral is "long non-coding RNA (SBIC_LNC007548)". Lineage: Eukaryota; Viridiplantae; Streptophyta; Magnoliopsida; Poales; Poaceae. The record is from RNAcentral.